Ribosomal RNA from Neurospora crassa OR74A, 154 nucleotides. It matches the Rfam family "5.8S ribosomal RNA". Rfam says of the family: 5.8S ribosomal RNA (5.8S rRNA) is a component of the large subunit of the eukaryotic ribosome. It is transcribed by RNA polymerase I as part of the 45S precursor that also contains 18S and 28S rRNA. Functionally, it is thought that 5.8S rRNA may be involved in ribosome translocation. Lineage: Eukaryota; Fungi; Ascomycota; Sordariomycetes; Sordariales; Sordariaceae. The record is from Rfam.
AACUUUCAAUAACGGAUCUCUUAAUUCUAAUAUCGAUAAAGAAUAUAGCGAAAUAUAAUAAGUAAUAUAAAUUAUAAAAUUUAAUAAAUUAUUGAAUUUUUAAACGUAUAUUAUAUUCGUUAAUAUUCUAGCGAAUAUACCUAUUUGAACAUUA